UACGUAGGUGGCAAGCGUUGUCCGGAUUUACUGGGUGUAAAGGGCGUGCAGCCGGGCUGACAAGUCAGAUGUGAAAUCCCGCGGCUCAACCGCGGAACUGCAUUUGAAACUGUCAGUCUUGAGUACCGGAGAGGUCAUCGGAAUUCCUUGUGUAGCGGUGAAAUGCGUAGAUAUAUGGAAGAACACCGAUGGCGAAGGCAGCCUCCUGGGACGCAACUGACGCUCAUACACGAAAGCGUGGGGAGCAAACAGG
RNAcentral lists this ribosomal RNA (253 nucleotides) under uncultured Oscillospira sp. Its description in RNAcentral is "partial 16S ribosomal RNA". It matches the Rfam family "Bacterial small subunit ribosomal RNA", at positions 524 to 776 of the family's 1533-position model. Lineage: Bacteria; Bacillati; Bacillota; Clostridia; Eubacteriales; Oscillospiraceae. The record is from RNAcentral.